ACGUGCCGCGUCGACGGUACUUAGUGGGGUGAGUAACUGUGUAUCUGCCUUUGGCCUGGAAUAACACGAGGAAACUUGUGCUAAUACCGGUAAUCUUACGGAGAAGCUUUAUGCACCAUUGGAUGACCUGCCUUGAUUAGUUUGUUGGGGGGAAGGCUACCAAGAGUGAUCAAGUGAUUUGAGAGGUGAUCCCGGCUAGACAGCCCAAACUCCUAGGGAGGCACAGGGGGAAUCUUGCACAGGAGAAACUCUGAUGCAGCGAUGCCGCGUGAGUGAAGAAGGCCCUUGGGUUGUAAAGCUCUUUCGUCGGGGAAAAAAUGACUGUACCCGAAUAAAAGGUCCGGUAACUUCUGCCAGCAGCCGCGGUAAUACGAAGGGACUAGUAUCGAUUACUGGGCUAAGAGUUCUAGGUGGUUGAAAAAGUUGUGGGAAAUCCCGAGCUUAACUCUGGAACUGCCAUUAAAACUUUUCAGCUAGAGUAUGAUAGAGGAAAGCAGAAUUUCUUGUAAGGUGAAUUCGUAGAUAUUAGAAAAAUACCUUGCGAAGGCAGCUUUCUGGAUCUUACUGACACUGAGAACGAACUGGGUAGCGAAAGGAUUAGAUACCCUCGUAUCAUGCCGUAAACGAUGUGUGUAACGUUGAAAUUUAUUUUGUGUCCGGGAAACCGAAACACACCGCCGGGGAGACGACCGCAAGGUAAAACUCAAUGAUGACGGGACCCGCACAGAGUGAGUGUGGUUAAUCAAGAUCGGCAAACUUACCAACCUUGACUGUUCGCGCGCUCAAGAAUUAGGUUUCGCUUCGCCGACAAACACUCAUGCCUGCUCAGCUCGUGUGAGAUUGAUAAGUCCCGCAACUGAGCCACCCUUCACUUUAGUGCUCACUGGGCACUCUAAGACUCGUGUAGCUAGAUGACCAAUCUGGAACUCUCACAUAGAAGCAGCUG
RNAcentral lists this ribosomal RNA (946 nucleotides) under uncultured Alphaproteobacteria bacterium. RNAcentral's name for it is "bacterial SSU rRNA". It matches the Rfam family "Bacterial small subunit ribosomal RNA", at positions 70 to 1169 of the family's 1533-position model. The record is from RNAcentral. Lineage: Bacteria; Pseudomonadati; Pseudomonadota; Alphaproteobacteria.